UACAGAGGGUGCGAGCGUUUGUUCGGAAUUAUUGGGCGUAAAGGGCGCGUAGGCGGUGCCACAAGUCACUUGUGAAAUCUCCGGGCUUAACUCGGAGCCUGCAGGCGAAACUGUGGUGCUGGAGUGUGGGAGAGGUGCGUGGAAUUCCCGGUGUAGCGGUGAAAUGCGUAGAUAUCGGAAGGAACACCCGGUGGCGAAAGCGGCGCGCUGGACCUCUUCUGACGCUGAGGCGCGAAAGCCAGGGGA
RNAcentral lists this ribosomal RNA (246 nucleotides) under uncultured bacterium. RNAcentral's name for it is "partial 16S ribosomal RNA". It matches the Rfam family "Bacterial small subunit ribosomal RNA", at positions 524 to 767 of the family's 1533-position model. The record is from RNAcentral.